This 447-nucleotide unclassified non-coding RNA is filed under the name Hevea brasiliensis (rubber tree). Lineage: Eukaryota; Viridiplantae; Streptophyta; Magnoliopsida; Malpighiales; Euphorbiaceae. The record is from RNAcentral.
GGCACAUAAUAUUAGAACCGCCGCAAGCUUUAAAAUUGUGGCUAAUAAUCAGCACAAUGUAAUAUAAAAACUAACAAGAAAGUUUACAAAAGAACCAUUCGAUCUCUCCAACUGAAAUUCUGCAGGUAAAACAUAUGGGAAAACAAGGCCAAAAGAUUCCAACACUCCGUAUUAAAACAUCCUCCUCAUACUUCUUAUUAAUUUGUGAGUUCCAUUAUAGCAGAUACGAUAUCACCAUCAGUUGCUUUGAGUGCUUUCACGGCCUUUGGUCUUGAUACACCAGCUUGAGUCAUCACCAGUUCAAUGUCCUUGGGUUCAACCCCGGUCUCAUCGACUACUUCAUCAUCUUGAGCCACGGUUGAUGGUUCAGGCUUUGAUGUCAAGUUGCUCAAAUUAGGUGCCUUAAACUGCUCUGCAGCUUGCGUCUGUAGCUGGGAGCUCAAAUCU